AAAAAAAAAAAAAAAAAAAAAAAAAAAAAAAAACACGGCGCGCACCUGUAGAUACUACCAAAAGCUAAAUUGUCUCGAUCGCCACGAGAAUCAAAAUAAUACUCCUUAUCACUAGCAGCAGCUGAAUUAGCCCAAGUUCGAACAUCAGGUUUUCUGGAAGUAGGAGAAAGUGCAUAGUCAUAGCGUGGACGUUCAUCACUCGAUUUCUUCCUCUUCCUCCGCUUCUUCUUCCUCUUCUUCUUCUUACCCUCAUCAUCGUCAGAAGACGAGUGUCCCCGCUCCGAUGCGGACGAGUGCAGUAACUCAUACCGCGUACCUUCACUUUUCCGAUCUUCCUUCUCUACAUCUUCUCCUUGUUCGUCUUCCUCUAGGUUUUCCUGGAAAUGUAUAUUACCGUAGUUGUUUGAAACGGCGUUGUUUAUAACGGAGAUGUCGGUGGUGAAGCUGGAAUUUCGAAGCCAUUCAGGAACGGCGUCGUAUGAGGUGGACGGAUUGGGCGCUGAAGGUAUUUGAGUUUGGGGGAAAACGGGGAACAGCGAUGAAUUUUUUGGUGGUGAAGAUUUGAUUUCUUCCAUGGCGGUUUCUGUAUUCGUCUUCUCCAUUUGCUGGGGCCUAAUUCUGAUUGAUUUUACAGUGUUAUUUUCUCAAGCAAAUGCGAUGCAUGAAAUCCGUGGUUGCCUGGCGAUGGCUCGAGGGAUGAUUGAACAUGACCACUCGUAGCAGAAGUUAGAGAUGCAGCAACGCAGCGCGCUAAGAGAAGGGGGAAGAGGAGUGCACUGGAAUCGCAAAAAGAUUUCAUCAAGUGGAAUUUUGCAUUAUGACCAUCGAUGAAAAUGUCAGACGUGAAAAUAUAUGUUUCUGAUCUUCCAUCACUUUGAUACAUUGCUGCAAAUGAGGGAAGGCAACCAAAAUUGGAUAAACAGCUAUUUCACAAGCUAUGACUAAACACCUAAAAGAAUCAACACACAUCAUGUACAAACCAGCAGACAUCCCCUUCCAUCAAACAAGACAGAAAACCCUAAUGUUACAUAACAUUUGCAGGACUGCAUUCUCAGUUGGG
Capsicum annuum is the source of this 1060-nucleotide long non-coding RNA. RefSeq lists it as uncharacterized. Lineage: Eukaryota; Viridiplantae; Streptophyta; Magnoliopsida; Solanales; Solanaceae. The transcript is spliced from 2 exons. The record is from RefSeq and is a predicted model, not a curated record.